RNAcentral lists this ribosomal RNA (253 nucleotides) under uncultured bacterium. RNAcentral describes it as "partial 16S ribosomal RNA". It matches the Rfam family "Bacterial small subunit ribosomal RNA", at positions 524 to 776 of the family's 1533-position model. The record is from RNAcentral.
UACGUAGGGGGCAAGCGUUGUUCGGAAUUACUGGGCGUAAAGGGCUCGUAGGCGGCCAACUAAGUCGGAUGUGAAAUCCCCAGGCUUAACUUGGGAACUGCAUCCGAUACUGGAUGGCUUGAAUCCGGGAGAGGGAUGCGGAAUUCCAGGUGUAGCGGUGAAAUGCGCAGAUAUCGGGAGGAACACCUAUGGCGAAGGCAGCUCGCUGGGACGUUACUGACGCUGAGACGCGAAAGCGUGGGGAGCAAACAGG